UACAGAGGGUGCGAGCGUUAAUCGGAAUUACUGGGCGUAAAGGGCGCGUAGGCGGUUAUGUAAGUUAGAUGUGAAAUCCCCGGGCUUAACCUGGGAAUGGCAUUUGGGACUGCAAGGCUUGAGUUUGGCAGAGGAGACUGGAAUUCCUGGUGUAGCAGUGAAAUGCGUAGAUAUCAGGAGGAAUACCGAUGGCGAAGGCAGGUCUCUGGGCUAGAACUGACGCUCAUGCACGAAAGCGUGGGGAGCAAACAGG
This 253-nucleotide ribosomal RNA is filed under the name uncultured bacterium. RNAcentral describes it as "partial 16S ribosomal RNA". It matches the Rfam family "Bacterial small subunit ribosomal RNA", at positions 524 to 776 of the family's 1533-position model. The record is from RNAcentral.